CACGUAGCUCUGAAAGUUUCAAUUUUACUAAAUAAAGAUUCAAUUUAUGACCUCGCUAUAUCAUGGUGAAAACUAUACGUAUAGAAUUUUAAUCCAUAGCACAUGUAAGGAUAUAACAGUGUCGAGUAACUUUACACUGUCGGCAUUCGUGUAAUAAGUAGGUAUUUCGUAUUAUCUUAUUCAGAAUGACCGCACUAAGUGGUUUCAUGGAGUUUUUUCAAAAAGGGAAGACAUUCAGACCAAAAAAGAGAUUUGCUCAUGGGACAUUACGAUAUUCUUUACAUAAACAAGCACAGGCUUCAUUAAAUUCUGGAAUUAAUUUAAGAUCUGUUGUAAAAUUACCUCCUGGGGAAGACCUGAAUGAUUGGAUUGCUGUGCAUGAUUUUUUUAAUAGAAUAAAUCUGAUAUAUGGUACUGUUUCUGAAUAUUGUGAUUCUGCAUCUUGUCCCACUAUGAGUGGUGGAGCACGAUUUGAAUAUUUGUGGGCAGAUGGUGAAAAAUAUAAAAAACCUACUGCAUUACCAGCACCACAGUAUGUUAGUCUUCUUAUGGAUUGGAUCGAAGCACAAAUUAAUAAUGAAACUAUAUUUCCUGUCUCAACAGAUGUACCAUUUCCGAAAACAUUUAUACCACUGUGUAGAAAAAUUUUAACACGGUUGUUUAGAGUAUUUGUCCAUGUUUAUAUACAUCAUUUUGAUCGUAUUGUUGCAAUAGGAGCAGAAGCACAUGUAAAUACAUGCUACAAACACUUUUACUAUUUUGUAACAGAAUUUGAAUUAGUAAAUACAAAAGAAUUAGAACCAUUGGCUGAAAUGACUGCUAAGGUUUGUAAGGACACUGCAUCACCAACACAAACCACAGCACCAUCAAACAAUGCUAGAUAGUGGAAAAACUUGUUAAAUGCAUAACUAUGAAGUCCAAAUUAGAAAAAGCAAAUCUUUUUUAAUGAUGCUAUAAACUAUUAUUAUUUCCAUUAAUAUUUAAAAAUUGAGUAUCAGUUGCAUUGAAAACUUCAUUACAUAUAGUGCUUCUGUCUUUCCAUUAUUGUACUAACUGUAAGAGUAAUUUUCCCAUUUGGGGAUAAGUUAUUAAUGUAAGUAUAUCUCUUUCUAGUUAAUCGUAUUAUACGGGAAAUAAAUUGUGCAUUUAUUUUUAUGCACAUCAAACACCAAAUUUGAGUAUUAAUGUAUUAAGGUUUUUUAAAUAUUGUACAUCUUUUAUAGUAUCCACAUUUUUGUGGAUGUAUAGUCAAAACCAACCAAUAAUUACGUUUUUAUAUGUAGAUAUGUUGAAAUUAUUCUUAUUUAAAAUUACGUAUUAAUAGUUAAAUUUAAUAUUGUAUAUUAACUAUCUUUAAAAAUUUAGACAUUAUUUAUGGAAUCAUUUCAUAGACAUACAUAAUUGUAUAAAUCAUUUUUUACCAUUCAAAUGCUUAUGUACUGUUCUUGUAAGUUGUAUUAAAAAUUAAACAAAAUUUGUAUGAAAUUUAAUGACACUGCAACAACGAUACAAAUAGCACACCACUAUUCUAAUAGUACAAAUUUCCGAAAUAAUAAACCCGUUAUAGAAGAUUAUAAUUUAUAACUAAAUAAAUAAU
Molecule: unclassified non-coding RNA, 1597 nt
Filed under: Megachile rotundata (alfalfa leafcutting bee)
Lineage: Eukaryota; Metazoa; Arthropoda; Insecta; Hymenoptera; Megachilidae
Description: mOB kinase activator-like 3, transcript variant X1
Source: RNAcentral